Paramuricea clavata is the source of this 291-nucleotide non-coding RNA. NCBI's taxonomy places the organism in Eukaryota, Metazoa, Cnidaria, Anthozoa, Malacalcyonacea, Plexauridae. The record is from the annotation of a GenBank genome assembly.
AUUAACACUGGGUCCACAAUUAUCAUGUUGAAAUAUAUUUUAUAUUGUUACAUUUCUACACAUUCUAUGUAGGGCAAUUUUGUCUUGCUUCUGACAACCAUGAACUAACUGUACAUGAUAAUUGUACUAUUUUAUAUAAUUAGGCCAGCCAGACAUUAAUAAUUAUUAAUUACAACUAAUUGAUCAAAAAAAUAUUAUAUGAAGUUAAAUGCAUUUCAUUGUGAUAUUAACACACAAAGUCUACCUUUAUAGUACUUAAAAGAUUACAACAAGAUUUAAUCUAUUUCCAUC